Apis mellifera (honey bee) is the source of this 20693-nucleotide RNA transcript. It is a transcript of the gene named ankyrin-3, with no coding region annotated. The record is from RefSeq and is a predicted model, not a curated record. Lineage: Eukaryota; Metazoa; Arthropoda; Insecta; Hymenoptera; Apidae. The transcript is spliced from 39 exons.
UUAUAAAACCGAUCAAAGCCGUACGGAGUUUCCAGGAGGGUGGUUGCGUUACGCUCAGAACUUUCUUAAACGGACGGAAUCCUUUCGACUAAUAUACAUAUAUAUGAUUCGGUUCGCGCAACGGCGAAAGUAGAAAAAAAAUGACGGAACUUCGUGUGAUUUGACAGUGAAGAAACAUUUAAUGGGAAAAGUGCCUCGGUAUCCUGUGAUAUCCGGAUUUUGGCCAGCGGACCGACAUUGGUAAUCAGUGAACGGAAGGAAAGCUCGAGGCGUGGAACGCGAAAGGGUGAGAUAGGGGUGAACUGGUGGAGGGUGAGGCUGAAGUGAUGACGGGCGAGGAAGGAAAGUGCGGGGGUGGAACUGGCACUGGUGGGGAUGCCGGUGUUGGAAACACGAACACGAACCUUACCGAUAAUGUGAACAAUAUUAAUGCCAACGUACAUGCGAAUCUUAACGCCAACAUUAAUGUCAGCCAACAGAAUGGAGGACCGGAAAAAGCGCCUGUCGUCGGCGGUACCAACGUGGAAACGUUACCUCGCGCUGGUAAACAGAGCGAUCCCAGUACGGCGUUUCUCCGUGCGGCUCGUGCAGGGCAGCUGGAAAAGGUUUUGGAAUACCUGGAAUCGGGAGUGGACAUUAAUGCUUCAAAUGCUAAUGGAUUGAACGCUUUACAUCUGGCAGCUAAAGAUGGUCAUUUGGAAAUCGUCAGAGAACUUCUCAAACGUGGUGCAGUGGUCGAUGCUGCUACCAAAAAGGGAAAUACAGCAUUACAUAUCGCUUCUCUUGCUGGACAGGAGGAGGUGGUACAAUUGCUGGUACAACGAGGUGCUUCUGUGAAUGCACAGUCACAAAAUGGGUUCACACCGUUAUAUAUGGCUGCUCAGGAAAAUCAUGAUUCCGUAGUCAAAUUUCUCCUGAGCAAAGGUGCCAAUCAAACAUUGGCUACUGAGGAUGGUUUCACCCCAUUAGCAGUAGCAAUGCAACAGGGCCAUGAUAAGGUGGUAGCAGUUCUGUUGGAAAAUGACACUCGUGGUAAAGUUCGAUUGCCUGCUCUCCACAUUGCUGCCAAGAAAGACGAUUGCAAAGCGGCUGCCCUACUUUUACAAAACGAUCAUAAUCCCGAUGUAACAUCGAAGAGCGGUUUCACACCUCUCCAUAUAGCAGCACAUUAUGGUAACGAUCGAAUUGCAUCCUUGCUUUAUGAUAGAGGAGCAGAUGUAAAUUUCGCAGCUAAGCACAAUAUUACGCCGAUGCACGUAGCGGCAAAAUGGGGAAAAAUAAAAAUGGUGAAUCUUUUGAUGAGCAAGGGAGCAAAUAUCGAAGCGAAAACGAGAGACGGCCUUACACCCCUUCAUUGCGCGGCACGAUCUGGUCAUCACGAAGUUGUUGAUAUUUUAAUAGAGAAAGGUGCACCGAUCGGUUCCAAGACGAAGAAUGGUCUUGCACCGUUGCACAUGGCUUCUCAAGGAGAUCACGUUGACGCUGCGAGGAUAUUAUUGUAUCAUCGAGCACCCGUGGAUGAAGUGACGGUAGAUUACUUGACGGCGCUACACGUGGCAGCCCAUUGCGGACACGUACGAGUGGCUAAGCUCUUACUUGAUAGAAAUGCUGAUCCAAACGCACGAGCUCUAAACGGCUUUACUCCACUUCAUAUUGCCUGCAAAAAGAACAGACUGAAGGUCGUUGAGCUCCUCUUAAAGCACAAAGCUAGCAUCGAAGCCACUACAGAGUCUGGAUUGACGCCUCUACAUGUAGCAAGCUUCAUGGGGUGCAUGAACAUAGUGAUUUAUUUACUGCAACAUGCAGCUAGUCCCGAUAUACCGACAGUAAGGGGCGAAACGCCUUUGCAUUUAGCUGCGAGAGCGAAUCAGACUGAUAUUAUCAGGAUACUUCUUAGAAAUGGUGCCCAAGUUGAUGCCAGAGCAAGGGAAGAACAAACACCUCUUCACGUUGCUUCCCGAUUAGGCAACGUUGAUAUCGUAAUGUUAUUGCUUCAACACGGUGCCGAUGUAGAUGCUACGACUAAAGAUUUGUAUACACCGCUUCAUAUUGCCGCUAAAGAAGGUCAAGAAGAGGUUGCAUCCGUUUUAUUAGAAAACGGCGCAUCGCUUACCGCGACGACCAAAAAAGGAUUCACUCCUUUACAUUUGGCAGCUAAAUAUGGUAAUAUGAAUGUAGCAAGAUUACUAUUACAGAGGAAUGCACCAGUUGAUGCCCAAGGAAAGAAUGGCGUAACUCCACUUCACGUAGCAUCUCACUACGAUCAUCAAAAUGUAGCGUUACUUCUACUUGAUAAGGGUGCAUCACCUCAUGCCAUGGCUAAAAAUGGUCAUACCCCAUUACAUAUUGCAGCACGCAAGAAUCAGAUGGAUAUUGCAACUACUUUAUUGGAAUACGGAGCAAAAGCAAACGCGGAAUCAAAAGCAGGAUUUACGCCGCUACAUUUGAGUGCACAAGAAGGCCAUACUGAUAUGUCAACACUACUUAUUGAGCACAAAGCAGAUACAAAUCACAAAGCAAAGAAUGGUCUCACGCCGCUUCAUUUGUGCGCACAAGAAGACAAAGUCAAUGUUGCAUCUAUUCUUGUUAAAAAUGGUGCCCAGAUUGAUGCUAAGACAAAGGCUGGUUACACUCCAUUACAUGUGGCAGCUCAUUUUGGUCAAGCAGCUAUGGUACGAUUCCUUUUACGAUCUGACGCAGCUGUUGACAGCAGCACGAAUGCUGGAUAUACUCCAUUGCAUCAAGCUGCUCAACAAGGUCAUACAUUAGUGAUCAAUUUGUUGCUUGAGGGUAAAGCAAAACCGAAUACAAUUACUAAUAAUGGACAAACUGCUUUGGAUAUUGCACAAAAACUUGGUUACAUUAGUGUCAUCGAAACUUUGAAGGUAGUUACAGAAACUGUCAUUACAACGACUCAUACGGUUACUAUUGAAGAAAAAUACAGAGUGCAAGCUCCUGAAUCAAUGCAAGAAACAUUUAUGAGCGAUAGCGAAGAUGAAGGGGGUGGUGAUGAAAUCGGCAUGGCAGCCAUGAAUGUGUACGGGCAGCCUCCACACGCGCAACACGUGUACCUUCCUUCUUACUACCAGGGCCAAAUGACCUAUACCCGUGAAGAUCCGAUGCUCAGCGACCAACAGCAAUAUCGAUACAUGACUGUUGACGACAUGAAAUCUAUGGGGGAUGACUCGAUGCGUGUCAACGUGACGGACGACGAGAGGGAUAACCGGCAUUCCGGAGCGCCCACGAUAACCGAGAUGAUCACGAAGGAAACUUGUCAGCGUACAAAUGCCGCCAAUCUGAAACCGGACAAUGUCGAUAUCAAUAGGCACCCAGUACACGUCGGAUUUUGUUCUGAGAUCAGACCGUCCCUAGAGUCCUUAAACACAUCGCUGGCAGCUCUUGGUACCAUGUCGAAAGGACAAGGAAUGUGGAGGGACAGCUUCCUGGUUUCGUUUCUGGUGGAUGCACGAGGCGGUGCGAUGCGCGGCUGCAGGCACAGUGGCGUGCGCGUGAUCGUUCCUCCUAGGAAAGCAGCGAUGCCUAUGCGCGUCACGUGCAGAUACCUGAGAAGGGACAAAUUGACGAACCCGCCGCCUUUGAUGGAGGGGGAGGCUCUUGCGAGUCGUAUCCUGGAGUUGGGACCCGUGGGCGCCAAAUUUUUGGGACCCGUGAUCAUAGAAGUACCACACUUUGCUUCGUUGCGAGGAAAAGAACGAGAGAUAGUUAUACUCCGAUCAGAUAAUGGAGAGACUUGGCGCGAGCACACCUUGGAAGCCAGCGAGGAGGCCGUCCAAGAUGUGCUUAAUGAGAGCUUUGAAGGAGAAGAAUUAAGCCAGCUCGAGGAUCUCCAAACUUCUCGGAUCGUGAGGAUACUUACGGCAGACUUCCCACAUUACUUCGCAGUAGUGUCCCGUAUCAGGCAAGAGGUUCACGCAGUCGGUCCAGAAGGUGGCACCGUUUCUUCGUCGGCUGUACCUCAAGUCCAGGCCGUAUUCCCGCCAGCGGCACUUACUAAAAAGAUCAGAGUUGGGCUCCAGGCGCAUCCAAUACCGGCAGAUCUUGUCGCCAAGCUGCUUGGUAACAGAGUGGCUGUAUCGCCAAUCGUCACCGUCGAGCCGAGACGAAGAAAAUUCCACAAACCGAUAACCUUAACCAUACCCGUGCCUCAAGCGGCCAAUAAAGGCAUGAUCAAUCAAUAUUCAGGAGAUGCGCCGACGCUGAGACUUCUGUGCAGCAUAACUGGAUUGAGUCAUUUAGGGGGUCAGUCUCGGGCAGUCUGGGAGGAUGUCACCGGUUCGACGCCAUUGACGUUUGUGAAAGAUUGCGUUUCCUUUACUACCACGGUAUCCGCUCGCUUCUGGUUAAUGGAUUGUCGGAAUAUAUCCGAAGCCACGAAAAUGGCUACGGAGCUAUACACACACGCGACACACGUACCUUUUAUGGCUAAAUUUGUAGUAUUUGCAAAGCGAGUAGAUCCAUUGGAGGCGAGGUUGCGCGUGUUUUGUAUGACCGACGAUAAAGAGGACAAAACCUUGGAGAAUCAAGAGCACUUCACGGAAGUGGCGAAGAGCCGGGACGUGGAGGUGUUGGAGGGGAAAACGCAAUACAUGGAAUUUUCGGGUAACCUCGUGCCGGUAUUGAAGAGCGGGGAACAGCUGCAAUUGCCUUUCAGAGCUUUCAAGGAGAACCGAGUGCCGUUCACGGCGAGAAUAAAGGAUCCGGACGCGGCCGACAUGAUGGGCCGCAUAAUGUUCAUGAGCGAGCCAAAGGUUCCCAAAGGCGAAUUACCUCAGACCCCUAUAUGCACGUUGAACAUUUUGCUGCCGGAGAAAAUCUCGCCGGAGUCUGCCGUCUCCGAGAUCGAUUUGUUAGAACUCUCCAAGAAUUAUAGUUUUCUGCGCGACGGCGGGAUAAGUCGUCCGGACGCUAUUCACAGAGCCACCAUCCGAUUGACCGACAUUGCAAAUUUGUUGGACAAAGAUUGGGAGAAACUCGCGGAGGAAUUAAACGUGCCGCCGAACGAAGUGUCGACGAUCAAGCAAGAGUACGCCAACAAGCCGGCCCAACAAGCUGCGGCGAUGCUCAAAGUUUGGCAGAGCAAUGGAAAUAAAGCAACAGGAAACACUUUGGAGAAAGCGUUGAACAAAAUUGGCCGCGAUGACAUCGUGAAAAAAUGUAUAUUCAACGUUGAAUUGAUCACCGAUGACGUGGAGAAAGCUGUGGCGAGAGUUCGAUUGGAUCAACCUGGAUUUGAUUCUUUGAAAGAAGAAUUGGGUCCUUCAAGGGACACCUCUCUUCGCCGUGAUGCGACCAUGGAUCCAAAGAUGAAUCCUGAUUACGAUGACUUUAAUAAGAGCAAGGAGUCGGGAUCUAUGGAAGAACUCGAUAUAAGCGGCGCUAAACGAGAUAAAUCGAAACAGCAUGUCACGAUCACAAACGGCACUGUAUUCAACGGAACCUCGACCCCUAUCAAAGAUAAAUACGCGAGCGAGGAGAAAGAACUGGGGGAUGUAAUGGCCGAUUUUCUCGAGCACAAAUGUCACGUUAGCGAUACGAUGAGCAAAAAGUUGCGCGAUGAACUUGACGACAAAGAUAAAAAACGGCAGAGGGUGAUCGCAGACGCCAACAAAAUAGUAUCCGGUGUAAUAGCAGACGCAGAGAAAGCGAAGGGGAAGUUAGCUAAAGAAGGGUGGUCGGUGGUUUAUGAUGAUGAUGAUGAUGAUGAUGAUGAUGAUGAUGAUGAUGAUGAUGAUGAUACGCGAGACAAUAAAGAGGCAAGAGGUGCUAUAGUCGAAAGUUUUGUUAGGGAACAGUUGGUUAAGAGUAAGCCCAAGGACAAGGUCCUUGCAGCCGAGGAAACGAUUACGAUCGAUCGAACGCCAAUCGUCGAGCCGACGAUAGUUAAGCAGCGUGUCGUUCGCGAUGGGAAGGGAGACUCUAAUGCGAGGAUAGUCACGUCGAAAACUAUAGUUUCGGUGAUCGAGAGCGAUAAUAAGGGUGAUAAUCGGGAAGGAGAAAGGAUGAAAGAAACGGAUCGAACGUCGGCGGCCGCCACGGCGGACGCGGCGACGAUCCCCAAUGGUAAACAGAGAGUGAUAAGCAAGAAGGAGAUGAUGUCGAGGGAAGGUAAGGAAAUCGACGAGAAAUCGGUACCCGCUGGUAUCGUAACGCCGAAGAAAGAAGAGGAAAAGGAGAAGGAAGUCGAAGAAUCGAAAGAGACGGUUGCCGGCGUUAACAUUCCAAAGGAGGGGAGAGCGACGGGUGACAAGCAGGUGUCAUCCGCUUACGAGAGCGUCUACAGCGUGCAAUAUCCGUCGACGGACGAGAGGCAAGAGGACGAGUCGAAGAAGUCGAAGGACAAGAGCGGGGGUAUAUUGUCGGGGAUCUUCAAGGGGUCUAAACUGAAGAAGAGCAAGUCGAAAGGAUCGAAGGAAACGUCUUUCGACAGCGGCGACGAGGAAUCGAGAACAGUGGGUAAUGGCAAAGAGGGGCCGAAACCUACGUCUACUUUCGUCUCGUACGACGCGUACGCGGACAUGAAACCUGCCGAGCAAACCGCAACCGACAUUAAAUUGGCCACGAUGCAAUUCUUGGACGAAUCGAGACGCCUCGCUUCCGAGGUGCACGCGCUCGACAGCGGGUUGAUCGACUCGGCUCGAGUCGAGGAUAGGGAGGAGGCGGUCAAGGACGGGGAGGACACCAGCGAUCAGGAGAGGGAGAAAGGGGGCGGUUUCUUCGGCAUGUUCAAGAGUCCAAAGUCGAAGGAGAAGAGAGCGAAGAAGAGCAAGGAGUCGUCGUUGGACAGUGGCGACGAGGAGGGUAUUCGAAUCGCCACGGAGAGAUUGUUGGACGAUACGCGAAAGGUUGCCGAAACAACGAUCGUUGUUCCCGUGAUCGACGGGAAACAGGAUCUGUACACGUUCACCUCGCAGGUUCGUUACAACGAGGACACGCCGAAGGAUAAAUUGAACGGCCAUUCGUACGAUAUUUCGGAGAUUCGUAGGAAAGAGGAGGGGCGCAAGGAAGCUAAUGGAAAAUCGGACGCGGGGAGGAAGCGGAAGGAGGUUGGAAGUUUGGAAAGGCAAGGUGGCGAGAAAAAGUCAGACUCCCCGGAGAAAAGGGUGGAGAAGGAGGAGGAGGAAGAGGGUGGUAAGGAGAAGGGUGGCGGAUUCUUCGGCAUGUUCAAGAGCCCGAAGCUGAAGAGCAAGAAGAGGAGUUCGUCGAGGGAGAAGAGCUCUUCGAAGGAAGCGUCGUUCGACAGCGGGGACGAGGAGACGCGGCAGUUGACGGCAGAAUUUUUGGAGGAUACGAGGAAAGUGGCGGAGAGCAUGCACCGCGAAGGGUCGAGGCAGAUCGGCGAAAGGAUGACGCCGGCCGACGGGGCACCGGCCAUCAUCGAGGUGACCACGGAGCCCGUGGACAAGGACAGAGGAGGAGGAGGGAUCUUCGGGAAGUUCAAGAGUCCAAAAUUGACGAGGGCGUCGCGAAGCAGGUCCCGGGAAAAGAGCGGGCCGCCGCAAGAGGCGACGAGUCCCUCCUCCGAGAUCUUGGAGGAUGCGACGAGGAGCGCGGCGUUGGACGCGAGGGAAAGAGUAGAGGACGCGACGACGGAAGCGACGGAUGCGAGUGACAAAGGCUCGAAGGAAGGUAGAAAGGUUAAAGAGAAGAGCGGCGGCUUCCUGUCCGGAUUGUUCAAGGGGGCGAAGCACGCCGCGGACGAGGCUUCGGAGGAGGUGAAGGAGGCGGUCGGCGAGGGCAGAGAUCGCGCGAGAGAAGCGGUGGAAGGGAAAUCGAAAGACGCGGACGCGGCGAGGGACAAGGCUGCGUCGGAAGCGAGGGAUGGAAAGGAGAAGGCGAUCGCUAUUCUCAAGGACAGCAAAGACGCGAUCGGUGGAAAGGCGUCGGAUGCCGGUAAAAUUGCCGGAGAGAAAGUGGCGGAUGCUGCGAAACGGGUCGAGGAGAAGGUGGUCGACGGCGUGAAAAUUGGAAAGGACGAAAUAAAGAAGAUCGAGAUAGACGUUAAAGGUGUCGCGGUGACAGGCGUAAACGGAAUCGAGGAUAAAAUUGGAGAGAAGCUGGGCGAGGGUGGGCGGAAGGUGGCCGAUACAGGAAGAGCAGUCGCGGACAAAGUAACCGAGGGGAUAAAGGACGCGGAGUCGGGCGGGCGAAGCGUGACCGAGGGCGCGAAAGCGACCAAGGACAAGAUGGUUAAAGAGGUUAAGGAGGACAUCGAACUGGCGAGGCAGAAGACACCUUGGAGUGGAGUAGACUCGGCAGAAGGCGCGAAAGAGAGGGCCGCGAAGGAAGGCAAAAAGGGGAAGGAGAAGAGCGGCGGAUUCCUCUCGGGACUGUUCAGAAGCGCGAAACACGCGGCGGACGAAGUUUCCCAGGAGGUGAGGGAAUUCGUGGAGGAGACGAGGAAGGAGGCUGGCGAGGAGGAGGCUCGCGCUCGCGCGGCAGCGGCGGAGAAGUCGAAGGAAUUGGACGAAGCUAAAGAGAAACUGGUGAAAGACGGGAAGGAAUGGGGCACGGCGAAAGUGUCGGACGUCGAGAAAACCGUUGGCGAGAGGGUAAGCGACGUCGAGAAAAAGGUGGACGCUGCGAUUCGUGAUGCGGCCGAGGCCAAGGACGAAGCGAUCGCGAAGCUCGCAACGAGCGCAAAGGACGUCGGCGAUAAAGUCGCGGAGGGGGCGAAGGACGCCGAGGCGAGAGUGGAAGCAGCGAGCGACGGCGUUAAGGCGGCCAAGGAUAAAGUGUCCAAGGAGAUGAGGGAAGAGGGCGAAGCGAUGAGGCAGAGGAUAGCGUCUGGGAUAGACUCGGGCGUGGAUGGCGCGGCAGCGGCGAGAGACAGGGCUGCGAAGGAAGCGAGGAAAGCUAAGGAAAAGGCCGGCGGUUUCUUGUCCGGAUUGUUCAAGGGUGCGAAGCACGGCGCGGAUGAAAUUUCCGAAGACGCGAAAGAGUUGGUGGACGAAACGAGAAAGGAAGCGGUGCAAGAGGAGGGUCGGAUUCGUGACCAGGUAACGGAAAAGUGGAAGGAAAUCGAUGCGACGAGAGACAAGGUUAAAGCCGUUGCGAUCGACGUCGAGGACAAGGUCGGCGAGAAGGUAUCGGGUAUCGCGGAAAAAGUUGGAGACGCGGGUAAAGCUGUGGUCGAGAAAACGAUACCGGACGAUGCCGUGGAACGAGGCGCGACGAUCGACGGCACGAGGAUAAUCGACGCAGCCAAGGAUAAGAUAGCGGAUGUAAAAGCGGUCGAAAACGAAGCCGCAUCCGUUGCGAAGGACAAGAUCUCCGACGGUGCUCGGAUGACGGCGGACGUUGGAAAAGCGGUUGGAGAGAGGAUCGCGGACGGUGCGGAGAGGACGAGAGACGCGGCGCAAGCGGGCGUGCGUGAAGCGGUGGACGCGGCGAAGGCGGCAAAGGAGAAAGUGGCGAAGGAGAUUCGAGACGACGCGGAUGCCGCGAAACGGAAAAUCUCGUCCGGCGUAGGGGCAGUGGUGGACGGGGCGGGCGGAGCGAAGGACAAGGCGGCGAGAGAGGCCAAGAGAGCUAAGGAGAAGGCGGGCGGAUUCCUCUCGGGACUGUUCAAGGGCGCGAAGAACGCCGCGGACGAAGUUUCGGAGGACGUGAAAGAAUUCCUCGAGGAGACGAGGAGGGAGGCGUCGGAAGAGAAGAGUCGCGUACGAGAUGCGGUCGACGAGAAGUGGAAGGAGGGCAAGGAGGAGGCUGAGGACACUGUCAAAGGCGCUGAAGACGCGUUGCUCGCGAAAGUAUCCGACGCCGAGGGCAAGGUUGUCGAGAAGACGGCCGACGGAGUGAAGCGGAUCGAGGGAAAAGCGGAGAGUAUCGCUCGAACGAUCGACGGUGCGAAGGACGAGGCGGAAAAAGUUGCAAAAGAGACGAAGGACAAGGUGGCCGACGGCGUGGACGCGGUCGUGGACGCGGCUGCUAAGGACAAGAUCUCGAAAGAGGCCAGGAAAGGUAAAGAGAAGACGGGUGGUUUCCUCUCGGGGCUUUUCAAGAGCGCGAAGCACGCGGCGGACGAAGCCUCGGAGGAGGCGAGAGGUUUGGUGGACGAGACGUGGAAGGAAGCGGGUGCAGCGAAGGAAAGAGCAGCGGCGGACGCGAGGGACGCGAAGGAGAAAGUUGCGAGCGCCGCGAGAGACGCGAGAGACAGAGUUGGGGAAGCGGCGGCGGAUGGCGGGCGGAAGGUGUCCGAGGUUGGGAAAACUGCGAUCGAGAAAGCGGAGGAGGGAGCGAAACGGGCUGAGCGAAGAGUGGACGCCGUCGCGAAAGACGCGAGCGAGGCUGCGAAAGCGGCGAAGGACAAAGUGGUCGCCGACACUUUGGCCGCCAAGGAUAGGAUGGCGGCGACGGCGAAGGAAACGAGGGACGAGAUCGGCGAGAAGGUGGCUGAAAGCGUCGGAAAGGUAUCGGACGCUGGAAGAGCCGUGGGGGAAGAGGUUACGGAUGGCGCGAAGAGAGCCGUGGACAAAGCUGGGGAGAUCGUCCGCGACGCGAGCAGCGGUGUCGAGGCGACGAAGGAGAAAGUGGCGCGGGAGAUUAGGGAGGAUGCCGAGGCUGCGAAACGGAAGGUGUCGUCCGGCGUGGACGCCGUUGUGGACGGCGGCGCUGCGGCGAAGGACAAGAUCGAGAAGGAGGCCAAGCGGGCGAAGGAGAAGGGUAGCGGCUUCCUUUCCGGUUUGUUCAAGGGAACGAAGCACGCGGCGGACGAGGUCGCGGACGACGUGAAGGAAUUUCUGGAAGAAGCGAAGAGGGAAUCGUCGGAGGAGAAGACGCGCGUUUACGAGGCGAUGGAGAAGAGGAUAGAGGACACGGCCGCGGCGAAGGACAGAGCGAUUAUCGAAGCGAAGGAAACGAAGGAUAAAAUUGCGAGUUCCGUGAGGGACGGCUUGGAGAAAGUGUCGGAUGUUGGCCGAGUCGUCGGUGAAAAGUUGGAGGAUGGCGCGAAACGGGGCGGAGAAAGAAUAGAAUCUACGGCUCGAGAAGCGGUUACGGGCGCGAGGGAUGCCAAGGAGAAACUCGGCGAGAAAAUGGCGGAAGUCGGCAAGAAGGUGGACGAAGGGAUCGCGAGCGGCGCGAAGGCGAUCGGGGACGAAACGAGAGCGGCGAAAGACAGGGCGGAGAAAGAGGCGAAGGAGGAUAUGGCCGCCGCGAGGCAAAAGAUCUCGUCGGGCGUGGACGCGGCGAUGGAUAGCGCGGACGCGGCAAAGGAGAAGAUUGCGAGGGAAGCGAAGAAGGGUAAAGAGAAGGGCGGAGGUUUCCUCUCGGGCCUGUUCAGAGGCGCGAAACACGCCGCGGAAGAGGUUUCGGAAGGGGUGGAAGAUUUGGUGGACGAAACGAAGAGGGUAGCGGGCGAAGAGGAGGCUCGUGCUCGCCAGGCGGUGGAAAAAGCUGGUAAAGACGUCGAGGCGGCGAGGGAGAAAGCGGUUGCGGAGGCGAAAGACGCGAGAGAUAAGACGGCGAUCUCGAUGAAACGCGGCAAGGACAAGGUGGGCGAGAAAGCGUCCGAGAGCAUGAAAACCGUAGCGGCGGUUGGCAAGAUGGUCGUCGAUGAAGCGACGAAACGAGCCGAAGCUGUUGUUGGAGAAGCGGCGGACGGCGUCGAAGCAACGAAGGAGAAAUUAGCCGCGGAUGCGAAGGACGCGAAGGACAAACUCGCGGAUAAAGCGGCGGACACUGUGCGAGCGAUUGGGGAGAAAGUUAAAGCGGAGGAGGUUGGUCGAGGAUCGGGCGAUGGAGCGAAAGAGAGGGCGAGCGAAGAGGACGUCGAUGGCGCGAUAUCGGCGAAGGAGAGAGCCGGCAAGGAGGGCAAAAGGGCUAAGGAGAAAGGUGGCGGCUUCCUUUCGGGAUUGUUCAAAGCCGCGAAACAGUCGACGGAGGAGAUUUCGGACGAUGCGAAGGACUUCCUCGAAGAGGCGAGGAGGGAGGCGUCGGAGGAGAGCGGUCGUCUGCGCGACGCGGCCGACGAGAAGUGGAAGGGCGCGAAGGCGGCGAAGGACGAGGCGAUCGAGGGCGCGAAAGACAAAGUCGUCGCCUCGGUGAAACGCAGCGAGGACGCGAUCGGUGGAAAGGUGUCGGACGUCGCGCGGCAAGCGACGGACGUUGGAAAGAGCGUCGGCGACGAAGCGAGACGCGCGGCGGAAAUAACGGAAACGAGGAUCCGAGAGAUGGGCGACGGUGCGAAAGCGACCAAGGACAAAGUGGCCGCGGACCUCGAGCGCGUUAAGGCUGGAGCGGCGACAACCGCCGAGGACGCGAUGGCAACGAUCGGCGAGAAAGCGCGCGAAGGCGGCAAAGCCGCGAUGGAAGGUGCGAGGAGGGCCGAGGAUAAAGCGGCGAGGGAAAUGGAAGCUGGAAAAGAGAGAAUUUCUUCGGAGAUGGAUAAAGCUGCGGAGAGCGUAGCGGCGGCGAAGGACAAACUGGCGAAGGAGGGUAAGAAAGGAAAGGAAAAGGGCAGCGGAUUCCUUUCCGGACUGUUGAAGAGCGUGAAGCAGGCGGCGGACGAGGUAUCGGAGGACGUGAGAGAAUUCGUGGGCGAGAAGAAGAGAGAGGCCGUUGAGGAAGAGGCGCGUGCUCGCGAAGCAGCGUCCGGAAAACUUAAAGAUCUCGGUGCGGCGAAGGAUAAAGCGGUCGGUGAGGCGAAAGAGGCGAGGGAUAAAGUUAAGGACGCGGUGAAGGAUGGGAAGGAGAAAGUGGAGGAGAAGGCGUCCGACAUCGCGCGACGAGUGACGGAUGCUGGCGAAGCGUUGGGCGGCAAAGUUUCGAGCGGCGCGAAGGACGCCGAGGCGAAAGCGGAGGCGGCCGUGAAAGAUUUGGCGGAGGCGAGGGACGAGGCAACAGCCGGCGCGAAAGACGCGGUGGAUAGAGGCGCGUCUCUGGUGAAGGGCGCCGAAGAGAGGAUCGGCGAGGCCGUGUCCGAUACCGCGCGGAAGGUGACGGAUGGCGGGAAAGCGGUUGGAGAAAGGAUCGCGGACGGCGCGAGGAAGGCGGAGGAAAAGAUAUCCGGUGGCGCCAAAGCGGCCAAGGACGCGGUGGUGAAAGAAGUGAAGGAGGACGCCGAAGCGGCGAAGGAGAAAGCGGCGGCGGCGAUAGACGCGGUUACGGACGGGGCAACGUCCGCCAAGGACAAGGCUGGGAGAGAAGCUAAGAAAGCGAAAGAGAAGAGCGUCGGCUUCCUUUCGGGUCUGUUCAAGGGAGCGAAGCACGCUGCUGACGAGGCGUCGGGAGACGCGAAGGAAUUCCUCGAGGAAACGAGGAGGGAAGCGACGGAGGAGAAGAGCCGGUUGCGCGAAGCGGUGGAAGGGAAGGUGAAGGACGCGGAAGCGGCCAAGGACGGAGCCGUGGCGGACGCGAAGGACGCGACGCGAAAAAUUGUGGGAAUCGCGAAGGACGCCGGAGACAAAGCGGCUGGAAAAAUAUCCGAGGGUGUGGAGAGAACGACGGACGCCGGCAGAGCUGCUGGCGAAAAAAUCGUGGACGGCGCGAAGCUCGUGCAGGCGAAGACGAAAGAGGCAGCAGAUGCCGCAAAGGACAAGCUGGUUUCGGAUACGAGAGAAAUUGGUGAGAGGAUCGAGUCUGCGGCGAGAGACGGCAAAGAUCGAGUCGGCAAAAAAGUGAAAAUGGCCGAGGACGAGACGGUGGCCGUCGCUCGGGAUAUAGCCGACGUUGCCAAAACGACAAAGGACAAAGUCGCGAAGGGGGCGAAGGAGGGCGUCGACGUCGCGAAGGAGAAAGUGUCGUCCGGCGUCGAAUCGGUGGUGGACGGUGCGUCGAGUACGAAGGAAACGAUCUCGAAGGAAGCGAAGAAGGCUAAGGAGAAGGGCGGCGGUUUUCUUUCCGGCCUGUUCAAAGGCGUGAAACACGCGGCGGACGAAAUUUCGGAAGACGGGAAACACUUGGUCGACGAAGCGAGGAAAGAAACCGCGGAAGCGGGCGAGAAAUUAGGAAAGGGCGUCGACGCGACGCGGGACAAAGGAAUCGCAAUCGCGAAAGACGCGAAGGAUAAAGUCAGCAACAAAGUGUCGGAAGGUGUGCAAAAAGUAUCCGACGUCGGCAAAGCUGUUGGCGAAAGAGCGACGGAUGGCGCGAAAGAAAUCGGCACGGGGAUGGAAGCCGGUGCGAGACGAAUGGGAGACGCUGCGAAAGCGACGAAAGAUAAAGUGGCGGCUGGUGUGAAGGAUUGCAAGGACGAAGCGAUCGCCUCUGCGAGGGAUGCCAGGGAUAAACUCGCGGAGAGAGUAGCGGAGGGCGGCGAAGCGAUUGGGGAAAAAGUGGCGGCUGGCGCGGAGAGAGUGGAAGCGGCCGUUCGAAAAGCGGCGGACGAGGCGAAAGAGACGAAGGAAAAAGUACGCAAAGAAAUUGGAGACGAUGUCGAAAGCGUGAAGCGGGAAGUUUCCUCGGGGGCUGGUGCACUGGUCGAGGGUGCAACUUCUGCGAAGGACAAAGCGACGAAGGAGGCUAAGAAGGCUAAGGAGAAGGGUAGCGGCUUCCUUACAGGCUUGUUCAAGGGCGCGAAACAGGCGGCCGACGACGUUUCCGACGAGGUGAAAGAAUUCCUGGACGUGACUAGGAGAGAGGCAGCCGAGGAAGAAGCUCGAGCCCGCGAGGCGAGGGACAAGGCAGCUGCGGACAUCGAAAAAGCAGUAGGCGAAAAGGCGUCGGAGGUUGGCAAAGCGGUUGGCGAGGGAGUGAAACGAGUCGAGGAGCGGACAGACGCUGCGAUUCGUGACACGGUUGAUAUCGCGAAAGCGACGAAAGAUAAAUUGAUAACGACAGACGCCAAGGAUAAAGCUGCGUCUGUGGUGAGAGACGCGAAGGAUAAGGUUAAGGAGAAGGGAAGCGAAGGUGGAGAGAAAAUAUCAGAAGCGGUUAAACGAGCGGGAGAGAAAGUUGAGGACGAAAAUGCAAAAGCGGCGAAGGAGGCAGAGAAAGUGGGAACGGAGAUUAAGAAAGAUGUGGACGCUGCCUCAUCGGCGAAAGAUAAAGCGGCGAGGGACGCUAAAAAAGGGAAGGAAAAGGGCAGCGGUUUCUUUUCCGGGUUAUUAAAGAGCGCGAAGCAUGCCGUGGACGAAGUGUCGGAGGAGGUGAAGGAGUUCGUCGACGAAACGAAGAAAGAGGCCACGAAGGAGGAGGCGCGGGCGCGCGAAGCGUUGGCGAGGAAAGCGGAUGCGGCGAAGGAUAAGGCCGGUGCUGAGUGGAACGAUGCGAAAGACAAGGCGAGGACAAGCGUGAGAGACGCGACGGACGCAGUCGGAGGAAAGAUAACCGAGGGGGUGCAAAAGGUGUCAGACACUGGGAAAAUCGUGAGCGGAAAAAUCGUGGAAGGAGCGAAAGGAGUGGAGGCGAGAACCGAAGCGGUUGCUCGAGAUGCCGUUGAAAGUGGUAAAGCUGCCAAGGACAAAGCAGUCUUCGAAGCGAAAGUUGUUAAGGACGCGCUCGCGACAUCCGCCAAAGAUGCUAAAGAGGGUAUCGGUGAGAAAAUAUCGGAAGGCGUGGAGAAAGUGUCGGACGCUGGUUCACUUGUAUCCGCCAAAUUGGCGGAGGGAGCGAAGCGAAUCGGCGGUGGAGAAACGGAAUCGGUCGCGAGAACGACGAAGGACCCUCUAUCGGAGGGAAUCAAAGGCGACGCUGCGAGGGAGAAAGCGAUGGACGAUGGCGGCGAGGCGAGAGACAAAGCCUCGAAGGAAGGUAAAAAGGGGAAGGAGAAGAGUGGCGGUUUUCUGUCGGGGUUGAUCAAAGGCGUGAAACACGCGGCGGACGAGGUAUCGGGCGAGGUUAAGGAAUUCUUCGACGAGACGAAGAAGGAAGCUGUGGAGGAGGAGGCGCGCGCUCGCCGAGCAUUGGUCGCUAAAGCGAAAGAGGCGGAGGCGGUUAAGGAGGAGAUCGCGACUGGCGCGAAAGACGCCAAGGAGAAGAUCGGUGAGAGAGUAACCGGUGGCGUGCAGAAGGUGUCGGAUAAACUCGUGGAUGGAGCGAAGAUGGUGGAGAUAAAAACGGAAACUCGAGCGCGAGAAAUCGCCGAGUGCGUUGAAGCAACGAGGGACAAAGUGAUCGCGGAUGCGAAAGAUGGCGGCGAGAAAGUUGCAACUGCGGCGAAGGAUACGAAGGAGAAGAUCGGUGAGAAGGUGUCGGGUACCGCGCACGCGGUGUCGGAAGUUGGAAAAGCUGUAGGCGCUAAAAUUACCGACGGGAUAAAGAAAACGGAGGCGAAAGUGGGAACAAUCGGUCAGGAAGCGAGCGAUGGAGCGAAAGCGACGAGGGAUAAAUUGGUGAAGGAAGUGAAAGAAGACAGCUCGAUCGUGAAAGAGAAAAUCUCGUCUGGGGUGGAUACCGCGAUGGAUGGCGCGAAAGCAGCGAAGGAUAAAGCUUGGAAGGAGGGUAAGAAGGCGAAGGAGAAAAGCGGUGGUUUCUUGUCCGGUUUGAUCAAAGGCGCGAAACACGCGGCCGAUGAAAUAUCCGAGGAUGUCAAAGAUUUCGUGGACGAGACGAAGAAAGAGGCAAUGGAGGAAGAGGCUCGCGGCCGCGUGGCGGCGUCCGAAAAAUCGAAACAAGUCGAGAUCGCCGCGGAAAGUGGGAAAAGCGGGAAAAGCGGGAAAGGCAAGGUUAAAAGUGCGCAGAGAGCGUCGGAUUCGGGUAAGGCUGGGAGCGAGAGAGACGCCGGAAGAAUUUUUGGAGAGAAAUUGUCGAAUCAAGCAGGGCAGAGAUUCAUCGCGGUUAGCAGCGACCCUAAAAGCGCCGUGGCCGAGUUUCUGGAAGAAAUGAAACGCGACUCCGCGUGGGACAAGGUGCACUUCCAACACGAGCCGGACGUCCACUUGUACGAAAACGUGGACACGAUGUUCGUGAAAGAGAGGAAAGAGGAGGGUGAAUCGAGAGAGGGUGGAGCGGGGAAACACGAGAAAGAGUCAAAAAAAUCGGCGACGAAAGUUGCUUAUUCGGUUUUCGAUCCACUUUCUGAGCUAGAUUCCGAGGCACGGGUCAGGCUGUCCGAAAGAGAGAUCGAGGACAGCGAUGGUGGCGGGGAAUCGAUGUUCAAGAAAGUAUCUCGCAUUCCACAAAGAGUUAGUUCCUCGACGGAACGGGUUAGCCCUAGUAGUUCGUCGGAUAGUAGUAGUUCGACAGUUAGGAUAUUAAAUGUAUUUAGAAACGUAGAGCACCUCGAGCCUCGCACACGACAAACCGUCACCACAGUCGUAACAAAGUCUGUGCGGACGGCAACGACCCCACCACCCAGUCCCGCCGAGUACACUGACAGUAGAAUUGAAGACGUAACCGAAGAGGCGGCAAGACGAGCCCAGGAUCUAGCCGAUCAAGCACAAUCAUUGGCGAAAUCAGGGCAUGAUUCGGCUGAGAUUGAUGGGACUCGUGUAGAGAGGCAUGCUACUUCUGCUCCAACAAAGCAACCUGUUCCCGCCCCGCGACACUCUACCAGGUCGUCCAUCAAAACAGACUUUCAUCUAGACUUGGCAGAUACCCCGUACAGUCCGAAAACAAGUAAACCGAGGGACGAGGAAUCGAGACCGGUGCAAGGGCACCAUUUCUCCCCGGAUAAGAACAGUCCGACGAGUAAGAUACCGGUGAGGGUAAAGAAAUCUGCGGAGAACGGGAGGGGGAGCAAAAUCGAGUUUGACGAUCAACGAUCGUUGGAUUUCGCCACGACGAGGGAGAAUGGCGGCGACGAGGACGGCGAGUUCUCGCUCGGCGAGAAAGAGGCGCGGCAACCCGAGGAGGACAAGGAGAGAAGCGACUCCUCCCUGAAAUCCGAGCCGUCGAACGAGACCCACGAGACGGCAACCAUAAUAGAGGAGACGUGCUGUUCCGCGCUUCCAAUUGACGAACACGAGCUCGUAAAGAGGACGGAAACCGCGGUGAUCGGAGGGGAAACGAGGGAUCGUUCGUCGUUCGACGAAUCGACUAGAGAGAUCUCGAGCCGCGUGGACAAGUGGCCGAUCGAUUCGAAGCCGAUCGACGAGAGAGGGAAGACGAGAGAGGAGGUGGUGAGAACGGUGGUGACUACCGUACGAUGCGCCACGACCGUGGAAUCUUACGUGAUGGAUCGAAGCGAGAGAAUGGCGGGAAGAUUGGAGCGUGGGAACGGCGUGGAUUACGAUGUCGAGCAGGCGUCCGGUAAUAUGAUAAAAAGCGACACAGAGUUGUCCGAGCCGUGGGCCCAGGCCAGCCUGUCGGAUCGUUCGUUCCCGAACGACGAGAAGGUAGAGCAAUGGGAGAGCCAGCUCUCCCAAGACACGUCGCCCGGCUCCGGUAACGGUGACAUUUAUACUAAGAACGGUAGCUCACGGCAUGAUUUGAACAGCGACACUGAUAGUGACGGUUCACCAAGAUCGAGGAGAAGAUCUCCGAGCAAGAGGUGUACAUUGGGCAGUUCCAGCGGGUCUGAUGUAGCACUGCACGAAGGUGCGGAGCUGUCCCCGUUGGAGGACGACCAAGGUACCGCACUCACAGCUAACCUUCUAACGACAGAAACAGACGGUUCGAUACGAUCAAUUUGUUCGAGCGCAAGGCGAGGUACAGUAGAGGGAACGCCUAGGACCAAGACUCCUCCCGGUAGAUCAAGCUGCGCAUAUUGGAUGAGCGUGGCUGCCGCUACAUUGGUGAUUCUACUAGCAAUAUUAGUUGCCUUGGAGCCACGAACGUUCCAACGUGCCAUCUACAUCCUCUCUUACAAUAUCCCGAGGCAAGCCGGAAUCUGACUUUUUGCAACUUAGCGAGCCAUCCUACAUGGAAACGACAACGACAGAAGAGGACCCUGAAACUCAGGAAAGAAUAACGAGAACUGUUCAAGUAAUUACAACAACGAGCGGAACCGCCAGUGGUCCAGACGAAUUGCGAGAGUCCAUGCAAAAGAUCGUCGAUAGAUUCAUGAUGGAGGAAAGGCGAGAUCAGUGAAGCAUGAAGGUCUCAUGGGCGAUUAUAAAAAUAGAGAGAAUUGAAUUCUUCGCCAUUUAAUAAUCGUGCAUAAUAGAGAGAGAGAGAGAGAGAGAGAGAGAGAGAGAGAGAGAGAGAGAGAGAGAGAGAAGAAAAAACGUUUAAAUAUAAAUUCUCUAGUACUAUAAUUGAAUGGAAGCAUCUAUCUAAUUUGGCGUAUCCUCGAACGUCAAAUGAGAUUAUCUUUUAGAAAAUUAAAGCAGGAGUAUAGAAAAAAAAAAAAAAGAAAAAAAAAGAAUCUUUCGAUAUAGAUCUUGCUCGCAUCUAUGUCAUGAUAAUAAUCGCGGAUUAUUCUCGCAGUGCUUCGUGAAAAUACAUGAAAAAUAUGUGCACGAUACUUUAUUAUCAUACUCAUGGCCUACGCUUCGAAUUUGCUUGCCUUUCGGUUAUUGAGUUGCCUUACAUUAUAUUUACGUUUAAUCUUGCUAUUAAAUAACGUAUAUCGUCGCUAGUCCGACUAGCCGAUUUCGCUAGUCUUCACUAAGCCAACCCGUCCAUGUACAACGCCUUUCUCGUGUUGUUCAAAGCGAAAAGAAACAGGAAAAAAAAAAAAAAUUAACGAAGGAGUAAAAAACGCUUACGAUAACAAAAUGUGGACAAAAAACGAUGAAAAAAAAAAAAAAAAAAUAUUCGUCUGAGAGAUGCAAGUCCGACCAACAUUACCGGCGAUAUAUAUUUGUAAACAUUUUUUGAAAAAUGAAAAAAGAUAGGUGGAGACGAUGGUAUCGAGAAAAAAAAAAGAAAAAAUAGAUCUUGCAGUGACUUCGCAUAACUCGCCACUUGGCAGUUCAUUUUAGCUUUAGGAUGAUUGUAUAUCUAUCCAUGCAAUACGGCGCUUGAUAGGUCAGCAAACACUUGAGUCACAUUUUUUGACGAUGAACUGCACACAUAUAUACAAUACAAAUUCUAAAAAAAAAAAAAAGAAAAAAAAAUGACUUCUUGUUGUUAUUCGAAUCAUUGGAAAUCCCCGGACAAAACCUAUAAGAUUGAGAAACCUGUUAAGAAAAUAUCGGAUACCGUCUAUUUCCGAUUUGAGUAGCGACAAGAAAUGUGAAUGUUUUUAUGAAUCGUAAUGUAAAUUUAACUUAUUUAAAAGAAUAUUUCCUAACAAUUUUUAAUUGUAUAUAUGAUAAUUUCUUAGCGUAACUUAUAUAAAUGUACUAUUAUACGAUUGUAAUAAUUGCAAGAUUAAAACAUGAAUAUUUUAUUUAUAUAGCAGAAUCAUUGGACGAAUGUUAUACGCAUAAAUCAUAAAAUCAGAAGGAAUGUUAAUCGGCGAUCUAUCCUUCGUGAAAUCAUGUAAAUUAUUAUAAUUAUUGUAAAAGAGAAAAGGAAAAGGUAAAAAUGGCAUGAUGAUUAUAUAGAAAAAAAAAGGAAAUGUGUUGUUUAAACUUUUACGACUCGCGAAACACGUCUUAAUAUUUAAGCAGCGUUAGCUUUCAAUGUAUAACACAGUUUUAAAAGGCACAGAAAGGAAUCGUAUAUAGUAUGUAUUUAAAAGGAAAAAAAUAUAUAUAUACAUAUACAUAAAUAUACAUAUAUAAUAAAUAAGGUAUUCUAUUAAUGUAUAAUAUAUUGAGAAGAUAUAAUUAUGCAUCUGAAGUUUAUAAAUUAUUAUCUAUAAUGACUGUUAUUCUAUGUUUAAUAGACUUGCCUAGAGCCUAUCUGACCUAAGGACCAAAGGCACAAUCACACACGCAUCAAAAUAAAACAUUAUGCUCCUA